This 146-nucleotide microRNA precursor is filed under the name Lotus japonicus. RNAcentral's name for it is "miR11108u stem-loop (lja-MIR11108u)". The record is from miRBase by way of RNAcentral. Lineage: Eukaryota; Viridiplantae; Streptophyta; Magnoliopsida; Fabales; Fabaceae.
UGAGAAAGUUUGGGUUAAAUAAUUUAUCAUCUAAUCACAUUAAAGAUAAGUGAGUUAGAAAUAAAUUAAUAAAUAAAAUAUAGAAAUUUAAACUCACUUAUCUUCAAUGUCAUUGGAUGAUGGGUUAUUUAACCCAAACUUUUUCA